This 270-nucleotide ribosomal RNA is filed under the name uncultured archaeon. RNAcentral describes it as "partial 16S ribosomal RNA". It matches the Rfam family "Archaeal small subunit ribosomal RNA", at positions 477 to 747 of the family's 1478-position model. The record is from RNAcentral.
CAGCAGCCCGAGUGGUGGUCGUUUUUAUUGGGCCUAAAGCGUCCGUAGCCGGUCUAGUAAAUCCUUGGAUAAAUCGUACAGCUUAACUGUACGGCUCCCGGGGAGACUGCUAGACUUGGGACUGGGAGAGGUCGGAGGUACUCCAGGGGUAGGGGUGAAAUCUUGUAAUCCUUGGGGGACCACCGGUGGCGAAAGCGUCCGACCAGAACGGGUCCGACGGUAAGGGACGAAGCCCUGGGGCGCGAACCGGAUUAGAUACCCGAGUAGUCC